This 48-nucleotide transfer RNA is filed under the name Scrippsiella hangoei. Its description in RNAcentral is "partial Selenocysteine transfer RNA". Lineage: Eukaryota; Dinophyceae; Peridiniales; Peridiniaceae. The record is from RNAcentral.
GGCCGACAGCGGAUGCCCGACAGGUGGUGGGCACCCAGCAAGCGCUCG